This is a small nucleolar RNA of Callithrix jacchus (white-tufted-ear marmoset), 80 nucleotides long. Its record names the gene U3. It matches the Rfam family "Small nucleolar RNA U3". Rfam says of the family: Small nucleolar RNAs (snoRNAs) are involved in the processing and modification of rRNA in the nucleolus. The record is from Ensembl. Lineage: Eukaryota; Metazoa; Chordata; Mammalia; Primates; Cebidae.
AAGGCUUUACUUUCAGGGAUCAUUUCUAUAGUUUGUUACUAGAAAAGUGUUUAAGUAUUGGGAAACUGUCAAGUCGUAGU